GUGGGGAAUAUUGCACAAUGGGGGAAACCCUGAUGCAGCGACGCCGCGUGAGCGAAGAAGUAUCUCGGUAUGUAAACUUCUAUCAGCAGGGAAGAUAGUGACGGUACCUGACUAAGAAGCCCCGGCUAACUACGUGCCAGCAGCCGCGGUAAUACGUAGGGGGCAAGCGUUAUCCGGAUUUACUGGGUGUAAAGGGAGCGUAGACGGACUGGCAAGUCUGAUGUGAAAGGCGGGGGCUCAACCCCUGGACUGCAUUGGAAACUGUCGUACUAGAGUGUCGGAGGGGUAAGCGGAAUUCCUAGUGUAGCGGUGAAAUGCGUAGAUAUUAGGAGGAACACCAGUGGCGAAGGCGGCUUACUGGACGAUAACUGACGCUGAGGCUCGAAAGCGUGGGGAGCAAACAGGAUUAGAUACCCCGGUAGUCC
Molecule: ribosomal RNA, 425 nt
Filed under: uncultured bacterium
Lineage: Bacteria
Description: partial 16S ribosomal RNA
Rfam family: Bacterial small subunit ribosomal RNA
Source: RNAcentral